GGUCCUAUAGUGUAGUCGGUUAGCACAUGGGUUUUUGAAACAAAAAAUACCUGGGACCUGAGUUCGAGUCUCAGUAGGACCU
This is a transfer RNA of Glarea lozoyensis ATCC 20868, 82 nucleotides long. It matches the Rfam family "tRNA". Rfam says of the family: Transfer RNA (tRNA) molecules are approximately 80 nucleotides in length. NCBI's taxonomy places the organism in Eukaryota, Fungi, Ascomycota, Leotiomycetes, Helotiales, Helotiaceae. The record is from Rfam.